ACUUAAAUUGAAGAGUUUGAUCAUGGCUCAGAUUGAACGCUGGCGGCAGGCCUAACACAUGCAAGUCGAGCGGUAGCACAGAGAGCUUGCUCUCGGGUGACGAGCGGCGGACGGGUGAGUAAUGUCUGGGAAACUGCCUGAUGGAGGGGGAUAACUACUGGAAACGGUAGCUAAUACCGCAUAAUGUCGCAAGACCAAAGUGGGGGACCUUCGGGCCUCAUGCCAUCAGAUGUGCCCAGAUGGGAUUAGCUAGUAGGUGGGGUAACGGCUCACCUAGGCGACGAUCCCUAGCUGGUCUGAGAGGAUGACCAGCCACACU
RNAcentral lists this ribosomal RNA (319 nucleotides) under Klebsiella pneumoniae. Its description in RNAcentral is "bacterial SSU rRNA". It matches the Rfam family "Bacterial small subunit ribosomal RNA", at positions 1 to 314 of the family's 1533-position model. Lineage: Bacteria; Pseudomonadati; Pseudomonadota; Gammaproteobacteria; Enterobacterales; Enterobacteriaceae. The record is from RNAcentral.